This is a long non-coding RNA of Cyprinus carpio (common carp), 1206 nucleotides long. RefSeq lists it as uncharacterized. The record is from RefSeq and is a predicted model, not a curated record. The transcript has 2 exons. Lineage: Eukaryota; Metazoa; Chordata; Actinopteri; Cypriniformes; Cyprinidae.
UCAAAAACAAUGAACUACAAAAGUGAGGGCAUCCAGAGAGAGAGAGAGAGAGAGAGAGAGAGAGAGAGAGUAAAGGGAAGAAUGAGUCACCUGGCUUGACUAUACAUAAGGACAGAGAGAGAAAUGAUUACAAUUAUUUGGAAGAGUUAUUAAAAGUACACUUAGUAAGAAACCAUUUUGGUUAUAUAGUCCUGUAUUCUUGAAGAGCAGGAUUUCUAGAUGGACAAUGUGCUCCAUGUUAUAAAAGCUAGUUAACCCUUUAGAACCCAAUAGAAUGUGGAUGUAGAAUACUGCUAAUUCUAAAAAGAAAUGUUUUUUUUUUCAAUGAACCAGACAGCAGAAAAACUAGUUUACAAUUGCAAGUAUAGGCUACUUUGUUUUAAAGAGCACAAACCCCUCUUUAAUAUGACACAAAACAACAUUUACCUCUCAUUGUUGAGAUACUUCCCAUAAAAAAAGAAAAACAAACUAUACUACCAAAUUACUCACACAAAACGUCCUAAUAAUAUAUAUGUGUAACCAGGUGAUGGUUGAGGGGGUUUAAAUACGUAUGUUCGCGAAGUAUAUAUAUCUGCGGAGAAUGUAAUGAGAGGUUCCUUUAAGAAAUGUCAGGUGACGUCAUCGCGCGUCUGUACGAGCGUGUGAGCAUGCGCGCGAUGAGGAAGUCACAGAGUUAUGCUGCACGUGUCCACAAUUGCUGUUCGUGUGUAAUUUAAUAGCAUCCAGGGAGUUGGAUGUUAACGCAGGAUUGCGUGGAUGUGUGAGUGUGGUUGAGCUACCGCACCGCAUGUAUAGACCAGGCCUGUUCACGUGGAAGAAGUGUUAUAUUACUGUGUAAUAUCAGAAACACAAGGGAAAGUGAGUAAUAUACACACUAUGUCAUUUCAGGUGUAUUUAGUGAGUGUUAUUGUAGUCUAAAUGUCUGUGCAGUUUUAAGAUGUUAUGUUUUCUUUAUAGAGUGCCACUACCGUAUUAUUGUUGCUGGUGUUUUAUUUUGACAUUGUUCUUUAUUAUUGCACACAAGAAGAGACGACAAGUUGUACUUUAUAUUAUCAUUAUUUUGGGGUGAACAAUUUGCUGUGUAAUCCAAAGAUAUUUUUGACAUUGUAUUUUGGUUUGUUUUGGGUUUUCUGUCCCAAUUACCUAAUCGAAAAGAAAUAGAAACUCCUAACCAAUUAUAAGGAAUAAAAAUACGAACCUCACUCA